GGAGUCGGCCAGACAGUCGCGUCACUCGCAAGAGUGCCGAGGAAAGUCCGGGCUCCAUAGGGCAAGGUGCCAGGUAACGCCUGGGCGGCGCAAGCCGACGGAAAGUGCAACAGAAAGAUACCGCCUACGUUCCUUUCGGGGGGCCGGUAAGGGUGAAAUGGUGCGGUAAGAGCGCACCGCGAGUCCGGUAACGGACCGGCACGGCAAACCCCACCUGGAGCAAGACCAAAUAGGGAUCCAUUGGCGUGGCCCGCGCUGGAUCCGGGUAGGUUGCUUGAGCGCUGCGGUGACGUAGCGCCUAGACGAAUGACUGUCCACGACAGAACCCGGCUUAUCGGCCGGCUCCGCCG
Molecule: RNase P RNA, 350 nt
Filed under: Xanthomonas vesicatoria
Lineage: Bacteria; Pseudomonadati; Pseudomonadota; Gammaproteobacteria; Lysobacterales; Lysobacteraceae
Description: bacterial RNase P
Rfam family: Bacterial RNase P class A
About the family: Ribonuclease P (RNase P) is a ubiquitous endoribonuclease, found in archaea, bacteria and eukarya as well as chloroplasts and mitochondria. Its best characterised activity is the generation of mature 5'-ends of tRNAs by cleaving the 5'-leader elements of precursor-tRNAs.
Source: RNAcentral